RNAcentral lists this ribosomal RNA (794 nucleotides) under uncultured bacterium. RNAcentral's name for it is "bacterial SSU rRNA". It matches the Rfam family "Bacterial small subunit ribosomal RNA", at positions 8 to 796 of the family's 1533-position model. The record is from RNAcentral.
AGAGUUUGAUCCUGGCUCAGAACGAACGCUGGCGGCGCGCCUAAUACAUGCAAGUCGAGCGAGAAGGUGUAGCAAUACACUUGUAAAGCGGCGAACGGGUGAGGAAUACAUGGGUAACCUACCAUCGAGUGGGGAAUAACCAGCCGAAAGGUUGGCUAAUACCGCGUACGCCUCCGGAUCUAUGGAUUCGGAGGGAAAGCUGCACUGUGAGUGCGGCGCUCUUUGAUGGGCUCAUGUCCUAUCAGCUUGUUGGUAGGGUAACGGCCUACCAAGGCUUUGACGGGUAGCUGGUCUGAGAGGACGAUCAGCCACACUGGCACUGCGACACGGGCCAGACUCCUACGGGAGGCAGCAGUAAGGAAUAUUGCGCAAUGGGCGAAAGCCUGACGCAGCGACGCCGCGUGGGGGAUGAAGGUCUUCGGAUUGUAAACCCCUUUCGGGAGGGAAGAUGGAACGAGCAAUCGUUCGGACGGUACCUCCAGAAGCAGCCACGGCCAACUUCGUGCCAGCAGCCGCGGUAAUACGAAGGUGGCAAGCGUUGUUCGGAUUCACUGGGCGUACAGGGUGUGUAGGCGGUUUGGUAAGCCUUCUGUUAAAGCUUCGGGCCCAACCCGGAAAGCGCAGAGGGUACUGCCAGGCUAGAGGGCGGGAGAGGAGCGCGGAAUUCCCGGUGUAGCGGUGAAAUGCGUAGAGAUCGGGAGGAAGGCCGGUGGCGAAGGCGGCGCUCUGGAACGUACCUGACGCUGAGACACGAAAGCGUGGGGAGCAAACAGGAUUAGAUACCCUGGUAGUCG